This 460-nucleotide ribosomal RNA is filed under the name uncultured bacterium. Its description in RNAcentral is "partial 16S ribosomal RNA". It matches the Rfam family "Bacterial small subunit ribosomal RNA", at positions 338 to 795 of the family's 1533-position model. The record is from RNAcentral.
CCUACGGGUGUCAGCAGUGAGGAAUAUUGGUCAAUGGGCGCGAGCCUGAACCAGCCAAGUAGCGUGAAGGAUGACUGCCCUCUGGGUUGUAAACUUCUUUUAUAAAGGCAUAAAGUGAGGCACGUGUGCCUGUUUGUAUGUGCUUUAUGAAUAAGGAUCGGCUAACUCCGUGCCAGCAGCCGCGGUAAUACGGCGGAUCCGAGCGUUAUCCGGAUUUGUUGGGUUUAAAGGGAGCGUAGAUGGGUUGUUAAGUCAGUUGGGAAAGUUUGCGGCUCAACCGUAAAAUUGCAAUUGAUACUGGCAGUCUUGAGUACAGUUGAGGGAGGUGGAAUUCGUGGUGUAGCGGUGAAAUGCUUAGAGAUCACGAAGAACUCCGAUUGCGAAGGCAGCGUACUAAACUGCCACUGACAUUGAUGCUCGAAAGUGUGGGGAUCAAACAGGAUUAGAUACCCGUGUAGUC